UGGGGGAUAUUGCACAAUGGGCGAAAGCCUGAUGCAGCGACGCCGCGUGGGGGAUGAAGGCUUUCGGGUUGUAAACCUCUUUCGCUAUCGAACAAGGCCCGCUUAGGGUGGGUUGAGGGUAGGUGGAGAAGAAGCGCCGGCUAACUACGUGCCAGCAGCCGCGGUAAUACGUAGGGCGCGAGCGUUGUCCGGAAUUAUUGGGCGUAAAGGGCUUGUAGGCGGCUUGCUGCGCCUGCUGUGAAAACUCGGGGCUUAACUUCGCGCGUGCAGUGGGUACGGGCAGGCUUGAGUGUGGUAGGGGUGACUGGAAUUCCAGGUGUAGCGGUGGAAUGCGCAGAUAUCUGGAGGAACACCGAUGGCGAAGGCAGGUCACUGGGCCAUUACUGACGCUGAGGAGCGAAAGCAUGGGUAGCGAACAGG
RNAcentral lists this ribosomal RNA (420 nucleotides) under bacterium. RNAcentral's name for it is "partial 16S ribosomal RNA". It matches the Rfam family "Bacterial small subunit ribosomal RNA", at positions 355 to 776 of the family's 1533-position model. The record is from RNAcentral.